This 254-nucleotide ribosomal RNA is filed under the name uncultured bacterium. RNAcentral describes it as "partial 16S ribosomal RNA". It matches the Rfam family "Bacterial small subunit ribosomal RNA", at positions 524 to 776 of the family's 1533-position model. The record is from RNAcentral.
UACGGGGGGAGCAAGCGUUGUUCGGAUUUACUGGGCGUAAAGGGCGCGUAGGCGGUCAGCACAAGUCAGUUGUGAAAUCUCCGGGCUUAACUCGGAAAGGUCAACUGAUACUGUGCGACUAGAGUGCGGAAGGGGCAACUGGAAUUCUCGGUGUAGCGGUGAAAUGCGUAGAUAUCUGGAGGAACACCGGUGGCGAAGGCGGCAUCCUGGACCAAUUCUGACGCUGAGGAGCGAAAGCCAGGGGAGCAAACGGG